GUACCGGAGAGUCAGGUAAUGUACUGGAGAACCAGGUAAUGUACCGGAGAGUCAGGUAAUGUACUGGAGAGCCAGGUAAUGUACUGGAGAGUCAGGUAAUGUACUGGAGACCCAGGUAAUGUACUGGAGAGUCAGGUAAUGUACUGGAGAGUCAGGUAAUGUACUGGAGAGCCAGGUAAUGUACUUGAGUCCCAGGUAAUGUACUGGAGAGUCAGGUAAUGUACUGGAGAGUCAGGUAAUGUACUGGAGACCCAGGUAAUGUACUGGAGUCCCAGGUAAUGUACUGGAGAGUCAGGUAAUGUACUGGAGACACAGGUAAUGUACUGGAGAGUCAGGUAAUGUACUGGAGACCCAGGUAAUGUACUGGAGUCCCAGGUAAUGU
Molecule: non-coding RNA, 382 nt
Organism: Chiloscyllium plagiosum (whitespotted bambooshark)
Lineage: Eukaryota; Metazoa; Chordata; Chondrichthyes; Orectolobiformes; Hemiscylliidae
Source: RefSeq, a predicted model, not a curated record